AAGACUAUACUUUCAGGGAUCAUUUCUAUAGUAUGUUACUAAGAUGUAGCCAAAAAACUGGUGGCAGUGUGAUCAACUCCUAGAGU
This 86-nucleotide small nucleolar RNA is filed under the name Ictidomys tridecemlineatus (thirteen-lined ground squirrel). Its description in RNAcentral is "Spermophilus tridecemlineatus (thirteen-lined ground squirrel) Small nucleolar RNA U3". The stretch from base 1 to 41 matches the Rfam family "Small nucleolar RNA U3", at positions 1 to 41 of the family's 219-position model. The record is from Rfam by way of RNAcentral. RNAcentral also lists the same sequence under 1 other name. Lineage: Eukaryota; Metazoa; Chordata; Mammalia; Rodentia; Sciuridae.